UACAAAGCAAAGAUAAACAAAUUUAAACAUUGAAAACAAAAGAAAGAAAACACCUAAAAACGCUCCAACAAUCCAAUUUGAAUGGCAAGCACGUCCAAGAUCCUUCUUCUUCUCUUUGUAGCGGCACAAGGUGUGGUUUGAUGGAUGAGUGGUAAAAUUAUGGUGGUGGAUGGAUAUAGGUGGGUUAUGGUGAAGGGUGGAUGGGUGGAUUGUGUUCUCUUUGGUUUUCUUCCCCCUUGUUAUGGUGAAGGGUGGAUGUAUUUAUAGGCUAGGGAGAGGACCACUCCAUUUCCUUUGCAUGUGAGCUUGUGUGGGUGUGUGUUGGCAUGUUUCCUCUUUACAUUUACACACACAUGCUUCAUCAUUUCAACCACAAAACACACACAUUUUCUGCCAUGUUUUUCCCUUUACAUUUACACACACACAUGACCUCCAUCAUUUCAACCACAAAUCAACCCAUUUUAUGCCCAUGUGUGUGUGUUUCCUUUGCCCAUGUGUGUGUGUUUCCUUUGCCCAUGUGUGUGUGUUUUUUCCUUUGCAUUUGUACACACAUGUUCUUUUUCAUUAUUUCAGCCAACAAUCCACCCAUUUUCUGCCCAUGUCAAACUAUCCAUGCCUUGCCUUUCUCUUUGUGUAUGUGCUGUCCACGUUUCUGAACCUUUCAGUGUUACAAUGCCCAUAACUUCUUCUAGAAAAAUGAUAUUAACAAUCCGUAAAUUGCUCCAGAAAGUAGACAUCCGUAGCUUUCCACGAAUAUAAGGCUCAUUUUCUAAUUCAUUCUGAGCUGUUUGUAACAUGCUUUCAAAGUCAGCUAAUCUGCACAGGCAGUUUUGACGAAUUUGUUACUUAAUAAUUCACUUGUGCUACUUUUCUUUUCUUUGCUUGAUAAAUCACACAAAAUACAAAAACAUAGUAAAUAGCUCAAAAAUGUAAGGAACUAACUAAGAAAAGACGAGUGAAUUCGAAGUAAAAAUAUAUAUAAAUAUGAUCCGAUCAAAUACCCCCACACUUAACUUUUGCUAGUCCUCGAGCAAAACAAAGAAAACAAGAACAAGAAGUAACAAGAAAAACAUUAGCUUCCCCCUAUGUGACCCUCAUAGAAUUUCAUUUAAGAAAACAAAUCAUCAAGAACCAUAGCUAGCAUCAAGGAACUAAUCCAAGUUCAUCUUCCUUAUUCAAAUAUUAGCAGUAAUCUUUGAAUCAUCCUUGAAGUGUAGUGUGUGAGAUAGCCAUGCUAAUGCAAUUUCAAGUUUUUAUUUUUAAAAUCAUCAUAUGCAAACUAGUGACCUUCUCACGGGAUAUACACUCAAUCACAUAUGUGUUUAGUUUUAGUGUGUUUCGCUCAAAGAAUCAAAUGUGAAAUUUCUACCAUAAGCUUGCAUAAAGAUCACUUCUCCACAGUCAUAAUUGCAAAACUUAAAUCAAGAGGACUUUUAUUGGAUGUAAUGAGGCUUAGGGAUAGGGUUAUUGAAACGAAAGAAUAGGAAAACACAAGUUCCAAGCUACAUUGCAAGCAAUUCUUUUCUUUAGAUUUAUAAGAACUCAAGCUCUCCAGCAAUUCUUCUAGCACCUCCAACCAUACUCUUAAACUGAAACUUUAAAAACUUUUUAUUUUCUUUUUAUACAAUCUUUCUUUUUUUUUUUUUUUUUUUUUUUUUUUUUUUUUUUUAAUCACAAACAUGAAAUACCCCCACACUUAUUCUUUUGCCAAACAUCCUUCACAAGUACUUCACAAACGUUUCUCAUAAGACAAUCUCGCAUUGCUCGCUUGGAAAGGGUAAGGAAAAAUGUUUCAGGUAUAAGGGUAGACAUAUCUGGUGAUAAGAAAUAAAAGGCUCAACAACAAGGCUCAAAUUGGCAAUCUAAUGAUAUCAUUUUUAUUUGGGAAACAUGGUUAUUUGGGCCAUAGUGGUAAACCUAAUGCCUCUAUCAUUUCCAAGUUCAUGCAAUCAAUGACAAACAUUUCGAAAGAUCGUUACGCAAGUUCUAGAGAUGUAUCUCACAUAAGUUCAUCACACAUGAAAGAAUAGGAGUGUAUGAAAAAUGCACACACUUUCAAUAGGCUCAAAAACUCACAUAGGAUGUAUAUGGUCACUAAAUUCACAUAUGAAGCUUUAAGUCAUACUUUAGUUUCACAUUAACAAGGCUAUGUGCAUUUGGUUUUUCAAAGAUGAUCAAACAUGUACAAAACUAACAAGAGAAUUAGGAAUUUCACAAAACACAUGUUAACUAAGUUCUUGAUAAUCAUGAUUCAAAUUUGAUCUAAUUAUAUCAUUGGGUCGGGAAACUAACAAAAAUCUAAUUCAAAACAAUAAGGGAAACAAGACAAUAUUUUUGGAUUUUUAAAUUUUCCGAUUUUUUUUUUAUUUAUUUAUUUAUUUUUUUUUAAAGAAAACAAAACUAAUUAAGAAAACAAAAAGCAACAACAUGGAAACAAAUGAAACUCGUUAGUAGUUGAAGGUACAAAAAAAAAAAAUUUCAAUUUGGUCAUUUUUUAUACUCUUUACCCCCAAACUUAAACUGGACAUUGUCCCCAAUGUCAGAAAAUACUAUACUGCAAAUAAAAAUAAAAUAAAUAAAUAAUAAGAAGCAAAAUAAAACAAUGGGACUGAAAACUUCCCUAGUUUGCAGUAAAAUCAAGCGAUGACCCCCAAGCUAAAAUUCUGCAAUCAACUUCAAGGGUGGAAAUAACCAAAUUUUCCUGCAAAGAAAAGAAAUAAUUCAGUUAAGUAACACAAGAAAAUAUAUAUAAAAAAAAAAAAAAAAUUGCAAACGAAAAAUUGAAAAUCACGAUAAAAGACAAUGAAUAGAACUAAUAAGUGAUCAUUGGUCGUGCUUGUUGACUUUCCACAGCUUUCCUCUUGAACUGGGUGACACUUAGCUUUUUACUUGCAAGUGAUGAUUUGAUGAUAUUGUACGGCGAAGCUUUGCUCUUUGGUGAUGUUGCAGUUCCUUAUUUGUUCUCCAAGCAGAUGUGGCAGCUUCUCUAGUUCCUCAGCUCGGACUCCUUCCGCUGGGAUGAUUGUGCAAGCUGCAUUCUUCUCUGCUUGUUUCUUCUGUACGUUGUCUCCACAUGCUGUUGGUAUCAUUUUCGCUUGCCUUAUUCUGUUCUUCAGGUAGAUGUGGCAGCUUCUUUGGAAGUACAUCAGCAGUGGAAGACGAGUACUCGAGAGCAAUUUCUCCAUGUCCUGCAGGUUAGAACAAAGACAAGGAAAAGGACAUGGAGAAUGCAUGAUAUGAGAUACUCUUGCUUUCAACCUUUAUGAUAUGAAAUACUUUUGCUCUGGAUGGGCUGUUUGCAGGGGUAUCCCAGGGAAUGAGGAAUACAGUGUGACUCGAGAGGGUUCUUUGGGAAUGCAUUCUCAAGAUGAAAAAGUGCUGAGAGGGUGUGCCUUUGCUGUGGAAGGCGAAGGUAAAUACUUAUAAGACUUUUCUUCACAACCGGAACUAUUCUCUCACUCAUUGUCGGCAGCCGGUGGAUGGAUGAAUACUACAAAUUACGCGCUUUCUGACAAAGCUGCCCGUAAUUUCCGCAAAGCAGAUUCCUCAUUGAUAUCUGGAAUCGGCGCUUCGAGCUCUGAGCAUCGUCGAUUGUAGAGGUAGUAUGUGACACGUGCGGAUAAAUCUGGAAAAGAAUAUUUGCCCGUGGGUUGAAGCUCAGCUUUUGAGAAAGCUAGCGUGUCUUUGACUGUUGAAUUUCCCUCUUCGAUUUCUGAAUUGGUGCUUCGACAAACUGCCCGAGAAUUUCGCAAAGCAAUUUGCGUAUGACAAGUGACGACACGUCUGGACAAAUUGAUCUUUUGAAAUCCGGGGUUCGGCUCGUGGUUUCUGAGCAAGCCCAGCCUUUGAGAAAUGCAACGCCUCUUUUGAGAAAAGAAUCCGGCUUUUGAGAAAGGAAACUCCUCUUUUGAGAAAAGAAUCAGGCGCUUGAGAACGGAGCCCCGACUCUUCGAUUUGCGAGAGGACGCCUCUUCAAUUUCUGAGGAGCGCCUCUUUGAUUUCUUCUUUUUAUAGAGGCGUUAAUUUUGUUCCACAACACACUUGAGCUCCCUCUUGUAAACACUCCCUUCUUGCAAUUUCCAAAAUCUUAAUCUGUCCGAUCUCUUCUUUCUCAACACCUUCAGAAAAUGUCUGGCCCUUCCGAUCGUCGUUUUGACUUGAACAUUGGUGAAGAGGCAGCUCCGCCUUCACCAGACAACAUAUGGCGCCCAUCUUUCAUAUCCCCUACUGGUCCCCUUACCGUGGGGGAUUCGGUGAUGAAAAAUGACAUGACCGCUGCGGUGGUGGCCGGAACCUUGUCACCCCAAGAGAUAACAGACUGCUCGCUAGACGGUCUGAUGAAUUGGCGGUUAAGGAGUCUCUGGCUCUUAGCGUGCAGUGUGCGGGUUCUGUGUCCAACAUGGCCCAACGCCUAUUUGCUCGAACCCGUCACGUUGAAUCGUUGGUGGCUGAAAUACAGAGUCUCAAAGAGGAGAUUAGAGGACUCAAGCAUGAAAAAUAAACAAUUGCACAAGCUUGCACACAAUUAUGCCACAAACAUGAAGAGGAAAAUUGACCAGCUGCAAGGACACUGAUGGUCAAAUUUUACUUGAUCAUCGGAGGUUUGUGGGUUUGUUCCAACAGCGCAUCUGCCUUCGUCUUCUGGGGCGGCACCGCGUAGUGAAGCUCCAACUGAUCAACCUCCGAUACCUCCUCCUUCCGUGGCCCCGCCGACUGCUGAAGCUCCGCCGACUACUGAAGCACCACCUGACCAAUGAAUGUUUAUUAGUUAACACAUCAUUGUAAAAUAUUUUUACUUUUAUGUUUUUUUUUUAUUUUUUUAUGUAUUAUUAUUAUUAUUAUUAUUAUUAUUUUUAAAUAUGUAAAUUAAUGUAAAAAAAACUUUGGUUAACCUUCCCCCACACUUAAACUAAAUAACACAAACUCACAGAAAUCAACCAAAUAACACAACUAACUAAACAAAACAAAAUGAAAGCAGUAAAGAUAAGGGUGUAAGAAUUCAAAUCUGAUUUGGUUAGCGAUUCCAAAGUCUCCCUUCGUUGAAUGCUUCGGUUGCCUCCCAAGAAGCGCUUGAUUUAACGUCUUUAGCCGGACGAAACUUUCCUUUAAACUCCCCUCGGCUCCAAAGCAUGGAAUUUAUCUUUUAAUGGGAGGUGAUACUUGAAAUGAUUCGGCAAUGGUUUAAAUUCAAGAGUGGGUGCCUGAAUCAUCAAAAUCAGAAAAAUGUUAGUAUAAAUAAAAAUUAAAAUUGGAGAAGAUGGCUUACUUUCUUUUUCCGACACAAACUCAAUGACAAACACCACAUUUUUGAACAUUUCCGGGACUUUGAACUUGGCCAGGUUUACUAUGAUGGUUGUGGCUUGUCCCGUGUCAUCAAACUCAACUGUUUUGGGCUUGAUUGUCUCAUGCACAGCCUCUUGGAUGUAUUCUUGAUAUGCUUUAACCACUUCAUUUUCUUGAAUCCCUUUUCUUGGUGUGCAAGGUUCUUUGAACAUUUCAAUACCAUCGGGAACUUGUUUUGGUGCACCAAGAAUUGGGAUAUCACUUUGCACCUUUGGAAGAGCUUCCACAAUGUCUUUUUCACUCUCUUUGAUAUUUGGAAUCAAAAACCUGCAAGGACAAAGGACAUUCGGUGGAAUAAUGUUAGAAUGAAGUGAAUUUAGAACUUCCUCACCUGAGUUGGAUGACAUAGGGAUUUGAGGAGCUUGCAGCAAAAAUUCUUCUAAACUGCCCAGGUCGUCCUCCUCUUCUUCUGCUUGCAGCAGCAAUUCAUCCAUGUUCGGGUUGUGUUUGGAUGGUUCUGGGACAGCUUCAUCCUUCAUGUCACCUUCCAAAGUGAUGGCUUCAUCGAUUUUCACUUUCUGCCUUUGAAUUUGCAAUGUUUGAGUUGGAAAGUUCACUUUGAUCUCGAAUCUGUGCCAUGAAUUCCACAAUCUGCCCAACUUGCAUCUCCAAUUCGUCCACUCUUUUGACUCGGUCUUGCAUCUCCUGGUUUCGAUUUUCUACUCCCUGAUUCAAAGAGGUGAGUAACUUAUUAAGUGUAUCAUUAUCCAAGGACGUACCUGAAUUGAAUUGGGUUGAUUGUUGUGGUGGCUGUGACGGUUCAUAUGGCCACUGAUAGAACUCUUCCGAUGGCGGCAAUUGUUCUUCUUUUCGUAAACCCUGCGCUACAGAAAUUAGUCCUUCAAGAAUUUCAUUAUAAUUCAUGGGCAUACUUUGAUUUGAUUGGAAUUGUUGUGGGGAAUGCUGUGGUGGCUGCAUAGGUCUUGAAUAGAACUCGUCUUGCUGCCAAUAUCCACCUUGUUGAAAUUGUUGAGGUUCAUCCCACAUAUAAUCUGAAUUACCUCUCCAAUCUGAAUUGUAAGCGUUGGAAAAAAUGUUGCCCCUCGAUUGGUUAUGGCCUUGAUAUCCCCAAACAUCUUCAUUUGCAUAAAAUUGAGGACUUUGAUAACCUUGCCCAUAGGGCACAUCAAAUGUAGGGACACUUGGCAUUGUGGUCCGUUCGGCAUUAUGAGUCAAUUGAGCAGUGAGUUGUGCCAAUUGAGCUUGAAUGGUCGCAAGUGCCAUGUCUCGCUCCAUUUGUACCUAAAAUAAAAAAAAAGAAAAAUAAAUCAAAUAUCAAAAGUAAAAUACACAAACACCAAUAUAAACAUAAACAAAAACAAAAAUAAAGGGAUUAGCAAAGUUGCUAAUCCCCGGCAACGGCGCCAAAAUUUGAUGCGAAAUAUAUAAGCACACAAAUUAAACCCUCUUUUUAUCAAAUGUAGUAAAGUAUGUAAGUAGGGAUCGUUCUAAACCGGGGAUUAGGAGGGCUUGCUAAAACCUCUAAACUAACUCAAAAACAUAAAAACAAAGUUAAAAACGUUUGAAUAGACUUAAAGAACUCAAAACAGGUUCACAAGACUCAAAAUAACUUAAAGACACUCAAAACUGCCUAAAAACACAAACUAGGCAGUUUCUGACUCUAGCACAACUUUGGACGAAAUUUGGGUUUUGACUUGACUCAAAACACUCUAAAACACAAACAAACAAAUUUUAAACACUUUGAAACAAGAAAGUAAAAGGGGAUUUUAGUUUUGAUGAAUUUGAAACAAACAAACAAGUUAUAAAACUAGGAAGAUUGUAAAACAAAUUUAAGAAAUAAGAUGAUGGAUGGAUUAGUUAGAGGUCCGUUCUUCACACAUGACACACUUGUAUAUGAAUUGAUUUCCAAUUGCUUUUCAAUAAACUAUGAUGCUCAACACCCCAGAUUAAUUAGGUACGCUUAAAUUAAUCCUCAGAUUUUUCCUAAUUUCAUUGAAUUGGAUGAUUGCAUACAACAACCCAAAGCAUUCCCCACAAGUUCCCUACAUGAAUUGCAUAAUAGAGAUACAAGCAAGAAUCAUUAAGUUCUAUAAAAAUCAUAAGCAUUGACGAAACACUUGUAACUAUGAAUUGCAUGAAACUUAUGCCAAGAAUUCAAUUAACGCGAUUGUGAUAAACAACCUUCACUACUUAUGAAUAUAAAUUUGUAACGAUUAGGUGAAACUCAUUUAUAUUCUAGCAUCUAAUUCAUGCAUGAAAACUAAGUAUGCAUCCUUAAUAAACAUACAAGAAUUAGUUAUGAAUAAAAUAGAUAAUUGAAUUGCAAUCACAACUUAUCAAAUCACAAUUGGAAGAAAUCAAUUUAAAUCUCAAGCAUGUUCAUGGCUUCAAACUUCCCCCUAACUAAAUAGGGGUUUAGCCACUCAUACUUACAAAGCAAAGAUAAACAAAUUUAAACAUUGAAAACAAAAGAAAGAAAACACCUAAAAACGCUCCAACAAUCCAAUUUGAAUGGCAAGCACGUCCAAGAUCCUUCUUCUUCUCUUUGUAGCGGCACAAGGUGUGGUUUGAUGGAUGAGUGGUAAAUUAUGGUGGUGGAUGGAUAUAGGUGGGUUAUGGUGAAGGGUGGAUGGGUGGAUUGUGUUCUCUUUGGUUUUCUUCCCCCUUGUUAUGGUGAAGGGUGGAUGUAUUUAUAGGCUAGGGAGAGGACCACUCCAUUUCCUUUGCAUGUGAGCUUGUGUGGGUGUGUGUUGGCAUGUUUCCUCUUUACAUUUACACACACAUGCUUCAUCAUUUCAACCACAAAACACACACAUUUUCUGCCAUGUUUUUCCCUUUACAUUUACACACACAUGACCUCCAUCAUUUCAACCACAAAUCAACCCAUUUUAUGCCCAUGUGUGUGUGUUUCCUUUGCCCAUGUGUGUGUGUUUCCUUUGCCCAUGUGUGUGUGUUUUUCCUUUGCAUUUGUACACACAUGUUCUUCAUUAUUUCAGCCAACAAUCCACCCAUUUUCUGCCCAUGUCAAACUAUCCAUGCCUUGCCUUUCUCUUUGUGUAUGUGCUGUCCACGUUUCUGAACCUUUCAGUGUUACAAUGCCCAUAACUUCUUCUAGAAAAAUGAUAUUAACAAUCCGUAAAUUGCUCCAGAAAGUAGACAUCCGUAGCUUUCCACGAAUAUAAGGCUCAUUUUCUAAUUCAUUCUGAGCUGUUUGUAACAUGCUUUCAAAGUCAGCUAAUCUGCACAGGCAGUUUUGACGAAUUUGUUACUUAAU
RNAcentral lists this long non-coding RNA (8578 nucleotides) under Malus domestica (apple). Its description in RNAcentral is "long non-coding RNA (MDOM_LNC010365)". The record is from RNAcentral. Lineage: Eukaryota; Viridiplantae; Streptophyta; Magnoliopsida; Rosales; Rosaceae.